Ictalurus punctatus (channel catfish) is the source of this 4797-nucleotide long non-coding RNA. RefSeq lists it as uncharacterized. The transcript has 3 exons. Lineage: Eukaryota; Metazoa; Chordata; Actinopteri; Siluriformes; Ictaluridae. The record is from RefSeq and is a predicted model, not a curated record.
UAACCUACAUACCAGAUAUUUACACAUGGCCAUUAUUUAACUACACUGUGGUCAUUCAAGCUAGCCAUGAACAUGGCUUUUUAUUUCUCACCAUCUAAAUAAUGAACAUUCAGUGACGUACAUAAUAAUACACUCCUCGUUUCAGUAAUAGCGUCCCUUCUGACUUCUGUAAUUGUGAUUGGCUCAGGCAGCUGUCGCUGUCUGUUUAUGCGACGCACGUGUGAAACUAACGUGUGCUGUUAAUCGAUAACCAAAGUACAGCGGGGCUCUCCACCCAGACGUCCAGAGCCAAAGUCUAGCCGCUAUACCCAUGUGAGGAUCGUAAUACACACGCACGCAUACACAAAGACACUCACACACACAGACACAGGGAGAGCGGGGAGGGUGAAUCACAUUGCUUUGACACGGUUCUGCUCCGCUCCGACAGCAAAAGAACACGGAGGAAGCGGCGAGCACGCACUGUGCGGACACACGGGAAACCUGAUAUUCCUGUUCCCAGAAGAGGACGAGAGGGGAGUGAACACAACACACACACACACACACACACACACUCAACAACAAGAAAAAGUACUGCCCUGUGUUGGAACGCAGAAUUAUUCCACACAUUCUGAUCGUCAUACACGUUCACUUGUUUUACUUGGACUCUACGUGCUUAAAAACACUCUCGAAACCUGGCUUUUGAAACGACCUGGAUUGUGAGAAAAGUGCUCUAAACAAUAAAUAAACUAUUAUCACAUUAUUACGGUUAUACAGAGCCACUUAUAAGUGAGGAAGAGAACGAUUCAGUCAGGUACCCAGAAGUAAGCACAUUUCCACUCCAGGAACCUUUCCAACACCUUAGGAUGUUCGACAAGAAAUUUAGGCAUGACUCCACCACAGGAAUAUUUCAGGAAGCAGGAAGUCUUUUAGGAAUUCAGGAACGUUAGGCACAUUUCCAUUGCAGCACUGUUUUCAGGAAACAAGACGAUUUUUGGGAGGGUUUUUUUUGCAGGAACUUUUUGCUGUCCACCGUGAAAACCUUUUUCCUUAAUGGAUGUUUUCCUGAAACUAACAAAUAGGUGCAUAUAUCCACCAGAGGAACCUUUUGAGGCCCUUAGAAUUUUUCAGGAACUCAGGAACUUUUGUCCUUUUGUCGAAUUUCAGGGACUUGAGAAUGUGUGUAUUUCCAACACAGAAACCUUUUCAAGGACUAAGGAAGCUUUUCAGGGACUCAAGAAUGUUUUUACCCCAGGAACCAAGAAUGUUGUUAGGAACCCAACAAUUUCAGGCACAGGAAACUUUCUCUUUUUUUUACAUUCUACAAAACCUUAGGCCUUUUAUGUCUCCACUACAUGAAUGUUAUCAUUUUAUCUUCAUUACAGGAACCUUUUCAGAAGCACAAUAUAUUUUUCAGGAACUCAAAAUAUGAGCAUUUCCUCCACAGGAACCUUUUGAAAACCCUAGGAUUUUUCAGUCAAUUUUGACACAGGAACCCUUUCAGUAACCAUGAAAGUUUUUUUUUGUUUUUUGUUUUUUGUUUUUUUACAAACUCAAUCCCAUAAAGUUUGUUUCUUUUCAGGAGCUGCGGAAGUUUUUCAGGACCUCAGAAACUUUUUGAAAAACUUUUCAGGAACCAAGAAAGAUCCUCAGACGUACACUACACACUUACUGUACACCACAGGAACCAUGGACAACUUUACAAACUCAGAAACUUUAGGCAUGUUUCCACCACAAAGAACCAAGAAUGUUUUCCAGGAACUCAGAAACUUAAGGCGGACAUUUCCCCCUUAAGAGACUUUUGUUUUACGGACACAUUUUUCAUAAUAUGAUGUUACUUCAUUAUUUCUUAUUACUCUACUGUAUUACUGUAUAUUUUUCUUAAGAUGAACAGCUGAUUACACAUGAGAUUCUUGACACGUCUGAUCCAGUCUGAGUUAUUCAACUUUCCAUCUAUCUUUCAGCAGAAGCCUCGACAAUGCCUCUACAAGUACCCUAACUUUGACCUCUCCAUUCAUCACUGCCACCAUCAUCCUCACUAUGGACUUUGCAACGAGUGUCUUUAAAUGACGCAAUACAAUUAAUCAUCCAUUACAGUUUUCAUCACCACUAUGAUGAACGGGUCUGAUCUCAGCUUUUGACAUCAUAGCUAUUCAUGAUAGUAACACCAUUACCAUCAGUGUGACAUACUCUACAUAUGAAAUGUCAACUAAAAACAGUGAUUCAGCUUCAUUAUUACAUUUCCCAGCCUCUCACAACAGAUCCGACGAGAAGCCUCAGGCUUCUUUGCCGUGUCGUGUUACACACUGCUGAUGUUUAAUCCGUACACACGCAGUGAACAGUGAGUCAACAGACCCUGUGACUCAGAGCUGAUUCACACUCUGUUCCCCCUUCCUCCAUCAUCCCUAAAUAUCAGGCACCCUACAUGCUUCUGACCUUCUUCCACCUCCAUACACAGCCAGAAGAGUAAACACUGUGCCUACUUUACUGUACUUUAUUCGCUGCUUGAGAGUCAUGAUGAGAUAAUGACAAAGUGCUUACUGUGUUAUUAUAUUACAUUAUAUCAUUCUCGUUCUACUUUCAACACUUAGCAUUUAGGCUUUGUCAGUACUGAAACUGAUACAGUAAAGCUCUACUGACUUGAGAACGAAUUGAAACUUAGGACAGAAAAGGGAAAGGACAGAGGAAGGAAUGUGAGGAAUCUGAAUCGUCCGUGCUGUAAACGCAUUCUGGCCGAAGAAUUCAAAGAGGCAGCCAAGAAGCAGAAGAAUGGGAGGCUUGGCGCUGUGUUUGACUGUGGUAGUGACCCAAUGCCAAAUGUGACCACCUUUUGGACAGCAUGUCAUAUGUGCCAUGUGCCAAGCGAGCUGUUGGCCCAAUUGAGUCAAUCUGCAGUCUGCCAGGCGCCGAAAACACGAGAAAGCAUAAAAGCCUCUCUUUAGCAGCAGGGAGUCGCUAACUGCCUGCGAGGCCUGCUGUCUUCCCCCAGAGUUCAGGCUUUGAAGAGUGCUGUGCAUCACUUAUUCCCUUUCAUGUCUGCACUAUCUUGGGAAGCCACUGCAAGGGAGAUUUCAAAGGGGAGGACCAGAGGAGGGCAAGACUCCAGAGACCGCUCUCGCCCUUCCACUAGGCCUGAAGGAGAAAUUCCAAAAACGCUCAGCAGCAACAGUACACAUACAGUAUGGUAGAGCAACAAUAGCUGAAUUUAGAACAGACAAAGAGUGUCAGCCAUUUUGUGGGCUUUAAGUGUGCAUUUUAAAACAGAGGAUAAUUACAGUUGAAGGAAAAAGUUGCACCCUGCAAAGUUUCUAGCUGGAAGGAAAAUUGAAUGAAGAAGCAAAAAUCUAAUUAAAUAAUUUUGAAAUGUAAUGUGGGUCUCAUGCAAUCAGGCAAAAUAUACAGAAAAGUAGCAUCCAUCCAUCUGCUAUACUGCUUAUCCUUCAGGGUCACAGGAAUCUUAGAGCCUAUACCAGGGACCAUCGGGCACAAGGUGGGGUACACCCUGGUCAGGGUGCCAAUCCAUCACAGGGCACAAUCACACACACCCAUUCAUACACUACGGACACUUUGGACAUGCCAAUCAGUCUACCACGCAUGUCUUUGGACUGGGGGAGGAAACCGGAGUACAUGGAGGAAACCCCCGCUGCACUGGGAGAACAUCCAAACUCCACACACAGGACAGCGGCUGGAAUCGAACCCCCAGCCCUGGAGGUGUGACGCGAACGUGCUAACCACGUUUAGAAAGGGUGAUGAAAACAUUUGAAGUGAUAUAUUUAUUUUCUCACAAUAUAUAAAAACAUAUGCUAUUUAACUAUUUUUGUUGUUAACUAUAAUGUAGGAACAUCUGUAAAGCCUAACAUUUUGCCCAGAACUUAUACAAACAUUUGCACUCAUCUAUGAGGUUAGUGUACAGACCUUUUAAAUGUAACAGGAAGCAGAGUUUUAUGCUCAUGAUCUGAGUUUAUGUUUUACAUUUGUGUCUUAACAUUUCUGGCCUCAUUUACAGAUUCACCUAGCAUGUAAAAAAUUAGAUUACGACGCCAAGUCUUACCAAGUCUCUUGCUGUGUCCCAAUUUACCUACUUAUACAAUACACUAAAAGUAUAUACUCCUUUUGUGAAGAAAAUGUAUCUACUUUUGAGUGUGUAGCAAAAGAGUAUGCAAGUACACGUCAUGAAAACGUUGUUGCCUAGUUACGCACACUGUCACCAUAAACAAACUCCUUGACAAACACUUGAGCGCCAUAUUUGCAAGCAAGGCAAAGCAAAACAUCACAAAACUCCUCCUUCCUCGUGAAAUAGGUUGUGGGGGAUUAUCUGAAAAACUGUCCAAGUUUUGAAAACCUACCAGAAAUAGUAGACCAUCCAGGUACCUUGGGGAUACUCGUUUCAACUAGGGCUGGACGAUAUAUCGAUAUAAUAUCAAUAUCGUGAUGAAUGAUUACGCGAUACACGUUUUUGAGAUAUCGUUGGUAUGGUGAUUCUUUUUAAACGUUUUUAAUAAUUACAAAUUAAAGGUACUGAUUGGAUGUCGUGGAUUUUAUGGGUUUUAAAGAAUUAAAGAAAAAUAUCGUCAAACUCGGUUUAUUUUACUACUGUUUUUCAGACUGUUUGUUAGAUAAAUUAUAUAUCGUGAUAUGCAUGGUGUAUCGUAGAAAUCAGUAUCAUUAUAUGAUAUUUUUGUUGUAUCACCCAGCCCUAGUUUCAACAUACUACAAUUUGGGACACACUAUUCUAAUCGUGGGUGCUAGGCGAACUGGGACACAGCGUCUGUCUUAGUAAACGUCUAGCAAAGAUUUAAUUGGAGAAUUGUCCAGGCAGGA